Molecule: ribosomal RNA, 328 nt
Filed under: uncultured eukaryote
Lineage: Eukaryota
Description: partial 18S ribosomal RNA
Rfam family: Eukaryotic small subunit ribosomal RNA
Source: RNAcentral
CCCUUAGAUGUUCUGGGCCGCACGCGCGCUACACUGAUGCAUUCAACGAGUCUAAAACCUGGUCUGAUAGGGCUGGGUAAUCUUUUGAAUGUGCAUCGUGAUUGGGAUAGAUGAUUGCAAUUCUUCAUCUUCAACGAGGAAUGCCUAGUAAACGCAAGUCAUCAGCUUGCAUUGAUUACGUCCCUGCCCUUUGUACACACCGCCCGUCGCUCCUACCGAUUGAAUGUUCCGGUGAGGCUUUGGGAUCUGAGCGGAAAGAGCGUUUCGCUGUUUCUGCUCGGAAAACUCAGUCGAACCUUAUCAUUUAGAGGAAGGAGAAGUCGUAACA